GACGAACGCUGGCGGCGUGCUUAACACAUGCAAGUCGAACGGACAGGCCCUUCUUUUGUUGGGUUCUCGAGUGGCGAACGGGUGAGUAACUCUUUAGUUACCUGCCCUUUCCUUUGCGAUAACUUCAUGAAACUGGGGCUUAUACCGGCUUGGAGCUCCUGCUUCAUGUUGGGUUUUGGUUAGUUUCGGCGGUUGGGGAUGGACUCGCGGCUUCUCAGCUUGUUGUUGAGGUAGUGGAUUAUCAAGGCUUUGAAGGGUAGCAGGCGUGAGAGGGUGACCGGCCACAUUGGGACAGAGAUACGGGCCAGAGUAGUACGGGAGGCAGCAGUGGGGAAUAUUGGGCGAUGGACGGAAGCCGGAUGCAGCAACGAGGCGGGAGGGAUGAAGGCCUUCGGGUGGUAAAAAGAUUGGGCAUGGGAAGAAGCGUGAGAAUCGGUAAAGGGUAAAGAAGCACCGGCUAACUACGUG
This 468-nucleotide ribosomal RNA is filed under the name uncultured bacterium. Its description in RNAcentral is "partial 16S ribosomal RNA". It matches the Rfam family "Bacterial small subunit ribosomal RNA", at positions 28 to 507 of the family's 1533-position model. The record is from RNAcentral.